This 79-nucleotide non-coding RNA is filed under the name Prorocentrum micans. The record is from RNAcentral. Lineage: Eukaryota; Dinophyceae; Prorocentrales; Prorocentraceae.
UUUUUUUUUUUUUUUUUUUUUUUCCAUCGGCUGGUUCGGGAGUCGGUUUUUGCCCGAGUCUUAAAAACACCUGGGGGGC